AGAGCAACUGAUUUGUAAUCAGUAGGUUGUAGGUUCGAUUCCUAUUGUCGGCACCA
RNAcentral lists this transfer RNA (56 nucleotides) under Erysipelotrichaceae bacterium. RNAcentral's name for it is "tRNA-Ser". It matches the Rfam family "tRNA", at positions 20 to 71 of the family's 71-position model. Rfam says of the family: Transfer RNA (tRNA) molecules are approximately 80 nucleotides in length. Their secondary structure includes four short double-helical elements and three loops (D, anti-codon, and T loops). The record is from RNAcentral. Lineage: Bacteria; Bacillati; Bacillota; Erysipelotrichia; Erysipelotrichales; Erysipelotrichaceae.